GGCUAUUAACUUUGCUUAUUUUCUUUUUCUUGGACUUUCCUUCCUGUAAGAUUUGUGUUUUCCAACUAAGCAGCUGACAGAUCCAUUGACCCAAAAAAUUCUAACAAUGCUAAUAUUUUCUUUGAAAAUUUCUUCUCAUGGCCCUCUUGUUCACUGUGGCACAUUCUUUGUGACUUUUUUUUAUAUCAUACUCAUUGAUCUGUUUAUUCUGUUUUUUUCUUGCCUGGUUAUUACAUUCUGCCAUAUAUGUAGAGUUACAAGAUUAUAUUUUUUUGUCAACCUUUCCAUUUGGACUGCCUGAAUGCUGCAUUCUGUUUGUAAAUGAAAUAUGUUGUUAUAUGGAAAUAACAGGACUUUGAUGCAUUAAGCCCUUGUUGUGUGUGUUCGAUGUGAUUCACGGAUAUUGAUACUAUGUUACUUAAGAACAUGUGUCAAAAGUUAGCCAGUAGUGUCUGUAAUGCUUAAUACUUAAGGCUUUGAUCUUGUUCUAUUAGCCAUGUGAGUUUCAAGUGUUUGUUUAUUGGAGAUGACUUUUGAUGCAUUAGAAUCCAUGUCGACUCAAAUGUUAUAGAGAAUCUCUCUCUCUCUCUCUCUCUUUUUCUUGCUGACUCAUUGAAAGUGACGGUUUGGUCUUUAUUCAGGUGACGAAGAUUGCGCUUUUGGCUAUUUCCUCAACAACAGGCUAAGAAAUGUAGAAGGCGG
This is an RNA transcript of Arabidopsis thaliana (thale cress), 702 nucleotides long. RefSeq lists it as uncharacterized. The transcript is spliced from 2 exons. Lineage: Eukaryota; Viridiplantae; Streptophyta; Magnoliopsida; Brassicales; Brassicaceae. The record is from RefSeq.